UACGGAGGGGGCGAGUGUUGUUCAGAAUUACUGGGCGUAAAGGGCGCGCAGGCGGCCUGGCAAGUCGAGUGUGAAAUCCCUUGGCUUAACUGAGGAAUGGCGCUCGAAACUACCUCGCUGGAGGGCGGGAGAGGGAAGUGGAACUCUCGGUGUAGGGGUGAAAUCUGUAGAUAUCGAGAGGAACACCGGUGGCGAAGGCGGCUUCCUGGCCCGUACCUGACGCUGAGACGCGAAAGCGUGGGAGCAACAGGAUUAGAA
This 258-nucleotide ribosomal RNA is filed under the name uncultured bacterium. RNAcentral's name for it is "partial 16S ribosomal RNA". It matches the Rfam family "Bacterial small subunit ribosomal RNA", at positions 524 to 783 of the family's 1533-position model. The record is from RNAcentral.